UGAAACCUUUUCAAGGACAUCACAGCAGGUGUGGAGAAGAAGUAAAUGAUUCCCAUAACAAAGUGAACUUGUUUAAUAGACUACGUGAGAGGUUGGGGGUUUGGCUGGGGAAAUUAUUGUUUAAUUCUAUGAACUGAUGUCUCGCAUGUAC
This is a non-coding RNA of Pseudonaja textilis, 151 nucleotides long. The record is from RefSeq and is a predicted model, not a curated record. Lineage: Eukaryota; Metazoa; Chordata; Lepidosauria; Squamata; Elapidae.